Molecule: long non-coding RNA, 1417 nt
Organism: Centruroides sculpturatus (bark scorpion)
Lineage: Eukaryota; Metazoa; Arthropoda; Arachnida; Scorpiones; Buthidae
Exons: 6
Source: RefSeq, a predicted model, not a curated record
AUAUUUAUUUAUAUUUUUAUAAUCACUUUAUAAAAAUCUAAAGAAUGAUAUUAUACAUGUGUGUUGUAAAUUAAUCUUAUUCAGUAAUGUGAGAAACUUGUAGUUUAAAGAGUUGAGUCUCACUUUUUUUUAUAGGGUAUCUUCUUCAUGAUAAAUUGUUUUUCUUCCGGAAAAAAACUGUGCUGUAUCGAAAUUGUACGAGAUUGACAUCGUUAAUUCAUGCUAAAUAUCAAAAUUUCGCAACGAUUUGUACUCAAUGUUAAGAAAGAAUUUUACAGUCUGCUUAAAAUUCAUAAUGACCCAUUCAUGUUAAAAGGUAACGGAUUUAAUAUAGCAAUUAAGUUUUUACAACGGAAAGAAUUUUCUAUAUUAUAGUUUUUAUAUCAUUGUAAAGAACUUUUAUUUUUAUUCAAAGUUUAUUCGUCCAACCUCAGAUAAAAGAUACAGUUAAUAUCUUUUUUGUAAAUAGAACUAUCAAUAGGAAUCAUGAAAAUCAAAUAUUUGAGAAAGUGAAACAAAGUCAAACUACUAACAAGUAAGAACCAAGAUGUAUUUAAAUUUAAUUCCAAAGUCUUCUCUCGCUAAAUCAUUCUUUUAAUUUAUUCUUCCGUGAUAAAAAGCCAAUUUUAAGCAAAUGCAAGAUUAAUUUGUGUUGGUCGAAGAACCCGAAGCUCCUAGGCACGUGCUUCAAGUGUCUAAUGGUUAAUUUAGUAUGGGUAAAGGCAUAUAAAUAUGAAACAAAAACAUAAAACAUAAUAAAUUCAUUUGUAGAAAAUAAUUCAAAUUAUAAGAAGCAUUCUGAUCUUAAAAGAAUUAAGUAUAAGGAAACCUUUAAAUAUUUCUGUAAUUAAAACUAUUCUACUGUUUUUAGACUUAAAAAAUUUCUAAAAAUUAUAUUAUUUUAGAAAUAUAAAUCACAAUUAGUUUUCAAUCUGAUAUAAAAACCUUUAAACAUAAAGAAAAAUAUCGAUUGUAAGAUACCGAUUAUCAUAUUCAGGUUAAAGAUUAUUUCUGAAUAUGAUAAUCGGUAUCUGAACAUUAGAUUCCGGUAUAUGAACAAAAUAAAUCAAAGAAACUAAAAUGCAAAUCAGUGAAAUUCAUAAAAGAAUCCGUUAAAGUAUGAAUUAUUAUCCAUAAAAAACACAGAAAUCCCAUAAAAAUUAUAAAUUAAAAUCCUUACGGAUCAUAUUAAAAAUUAUUUCAAGAAUUUGAGAAUACUGUACGAGAGAAAAGUCAUAUUUAAAUGAAUCAGAGGAUUAAUUCGGAGAAUAAAAGGCCAUUUAUCAGACUGAAUUUUGAUACUUUUUAAUUACAAUAUUUAAAUAUUAUUUCAUAUAUAAUGUUGAUUUUUUUAUAUUAUUUAUUAAUUUUACAUUAAAAUGAUUUUAAUUGUUGUAGGCCUACUUUGAAAGUGAAG